Molecule: long non-coding RNA, 495 nt
Organism: Mastomys coucha (southern multimammate mouse)
Lineage: Eukaryota; Metazoa; Chordata; Mammalia; Rodentia; Muridae
Exons: 4
Source: RefSeq, a predicted model, not a curated record
GAGCUGGAGGGGGCGGGGCCGGAGCUCGAGGAGUAGGAAGGCCGCUUCUCGACGGAGGCGGGGCGUGCAGCCGCUGCCUGCGGGGAGUGGGAGGAGCAGGGCCUGAGGGCGUGGCCUGCCAGCAGCUUGAGAUGGAAGUAUUUCGUUCCUCCAAACACUCCAUCCAUGAUGUGACACUGUCACCAGAGAUUCAUAUCAAUGAGGCCACCUAGUCUUGGACUUGAACCUCCAGACCCAUAUGGCAAAAAGGAAAUGUUCACUAUCAAAAGAGUUUAGAUCCUUCCCCUACACUUAACCUUGGAGUGUUCCUGUCUGAAUGCCUUUGUCGCUCACUCAGAUUAGUCUGGGAUGCUCUACUAUCCAACAGAAAUGCUGUCUGGAUUACCCUGAGCCACUAGAGACGCUUCCUCACCAGCCUUCAUGUUCACUUCUGCCCUCUGCCCAUUCUUUUCAUGCAUCUCAUAUUGUCUUGUCAAAUAAAAUCAUGCCAUCCCA